Molecule: ribosomal RNA, 780 nt
Filed under: uncultured bacterium
Lineage: Bacteria
Description: bacterial SSU rRNA
Rfam family: Bacterial small subunit ribosomal RNA
Source: RNAcentral
UGCAGUCAGGAGAAUUUCCAUUUCGGUGGAAUAGUAAACUGGCGAACGGGUGAGUAACGCGUAGAUAACUUGCCCAAAGGACUGGGAUAACCUCGAGAAAUCGGGACUAAUACCGGAUAUAACAAAUGACCGCAGGGUUGUUUGUGAAAGGGGGUUUCGGCUCCCACCUUUGGAUAGGUCUGCGUCUGAUUAGCUAGUUGGCAGGGUAACGGCCUACCAAGGCAACGAUCAGUAGCUGGUCUGAGAGGAUGAUCAGCCACAUUGGGACUGAGAUACGGCCCAGACUCCUACGGGAGGCAGCAGUGGGGAAUUUUGCGCAAUGGGGGAAACCCCGACGCAGCAACGCCGCGUGGUCGAUGAAGCUUCUAGGAGUGUAAAGACCUGUCGUUAGGGAAGAAUUAGACAGUGAGUAACUGCUCUGUCUUUGACUGUACCUUUCAAGAAAGCUCCGGCUAACUCCGUGCCAGCAGCCGCGGUAAUACGGGGGGAGCAAGCGUUAUCCGGAAUCACUGGGCGUAAAGGGCGCGUAGGCGGAUUUUUAAGUCAAAUCUGAAAGUUAACAGCUCAACUGUUAAAGUGGGUUUGAAACUGAUCACCUUGAGUGCGAGAGAGGAAAGCGGAAUUCCUGGUGUAGCGGUGAAAUGCGUAGAUAUCAGGAGGAACACCGGUGGCGAAGGCGGCUUUCUGGCUCGUAACUGACGCUGAGGCGCGAAAGCGUGGGGAGCAAACAGGAUUAGAUACCCUGGUAGUCCACGCCCUAAACGUUGUAUACUUGUUGUC